UGUGGGAGCUGGCUUGCCUGCGAUGGCGGUGUGUCUGUCGGCAGAUGUAUCAACUGACAGAUUGCUAUCGCAGGCAAGCCAGCUCCCACA
Molecule: unclassified non-coding RNA, 90 nt
Filed under: Pseudomonas yamanorum
Lineage: Bacteria; Pseudomonadati; Pseudomonadota; Gammaproteobacteria; Pseudomonadales; Pseudomonadaceae
Source: RNAcentral